CAGUAGCCGCGGGAAUACAGAGGAUGCAAGCGUUAUCCGGAAUGAUUGGGCGUAAAGCGUCUGUAGGUGGCUUUUCAAGUCCGCCGUCAAAUCCCAGGGCUCAACCCAUAGUCUGCACAGGAAACUGUCGGGCUUGAGAGUGGGAGAGGUGAGUGGAAUUUCCGGUGUAGCGGUGAAAUGCGUAGAUAUCGGAAGGAACACCUGUGGCGAAAGCGGCACACUGGACCAUUUCUGACGCUGAUGCACGAAAGCUAGGGUAGCAAACAGGAUUAGAUACCCCAGUAGUCCCUGUCUCUUAUAC
Molecule: ribosomal RNA, 301 nt
Filed under: uncultured bacterium
Lineage: Bacteria
Description: partial 16S ribosomal RNA
Rfam family: Bacterial small subunit ribosomal RNA
Source: RNAcentral